RNAcentral lists this ribosomal RNA (500 nucleotides) under uncultured bacterium. RNAcentral describes it as "partial 16S ribosomal RNA". It matches the Rfam family "Bacterial small subunit ribosomal RNA", at positions 28 to 507 of the family's 1533-position model. The record is from RNAcentral.
GACGAACGCUGGCGGCGUGCUUAACACAUGCAAGUCGAACGGGUCUGCCCUGUUUUUUGCGGGGUGGGUCAGUGGCGAACGGGUGAGUAACACGUGAGUAACCUGCCCCUCACUUCUGGAUAACCGCUUGAAAGGGUGGCUAAUACGGGGUGUUCUGGCUGUGCCGCAUGGUGUGGCUGGGAAAGAUUCACUUUUGUGGUGUUUUGGUGGGGGAUGGGCUCGCGGCCUAUCGGCUUGUUGGUGGGGGGAUGGCCUGCCAAGGCUUUGACGGGUAGCCGGCCUGGGAGGGUGGGCGGUCACGCUGGGACUGAGCUACGGCCCAGACUCCUGCGGGAGGCAGCAGUGGGGGGUAUUGCACAAUGGGCGGAAGCCUGAUGCAGCGACGUCGCGUGAGGGAUGGAGGCCUGCGGGUUGUGAACCUCUUUCGCCGGUGAAGAAGGUCCUGCUCUUUGUGGUGGGGUUGACGGUAGCCGGGUUAUGAAGCGCCGGCUAACUACGUG